This 1572-nucleotide long non-coding RNA is filed under the name Piliocolobus tephrosceles (Ugandan red Colobus). RNAcentral's name for it is "lncRNA (ENSPTEG00000018897.1)". The record is from RNAcentral. Lineage: Eukaryota; Metazoa; Chordata; Mammalia; Primates; Cercopithecidae.
UUGUUUUUGUCUUGAAAAUUUGUAUAUGCGUACGAUGUACCUAUACGUAACAUAAACAAAAAAAAAAAAAAAAAAUUGUCUAACAUUUCAUUUUGUUAAUUGUUACAUACUUAUUUAAAUUUAUACACUUUAUAUUUAUCCCCUCGCACCCCACAAAAAAAAAAAAAAAAAAAAAAAAAAAAAACAUGAACAUUGACAAAUUAGAUUUAUUGUAUACCCAUAGCCAUAGCAGAAUAAGCAGCUUACUUAAAGAUCAAAAGUAUAAAGAUGGCAACAAAAAUAUGACAUUAAAUGAUUUAUCAUUAAAAGAACAAAUGGGUCAACAUAAAGAUGUAUAUAUGAUCAAACAAAAUAAAACAUGUGGCAACCAAGACGAUGAAAUUAAAAUAAGCUUGGACGACAAAAUAAGCUUGGACGACAAAAUAAGCUUGGACGAUAAAAUAAACUUAGACGAUAAAAUAAACUUAGACUAUAAAAUAAACAACAGUCAAAAAAAAAAUUUAUUGAUAAAUAAUAAUACCAAAACAAAACAAAUUUUAAAACACGAUUUUUAUAGUAGAUUAAAAUCAAAUAAUGUGUUUAAUGGAUAUACAAAAGAAAUUGCAACAGUCCCUACAUUAAUACAUAGUGACUAUAAAACAGUCAUAAACCAUCAUACUUUUUGUGCAAAUUAUAAUUCUAACCCAAAUGAAUACAUCUCAAAAACAGAUGGUACAAAAACAAAUGACACAAAAACAGACGACACAAAAACAGACGACACAAAAACAAAUGACACAAAAACAAAUGACACAAAAACAAAUAACACAAAAACAAAUGACACAAACACAAAUAACAAUCUAGUAUUAAAUAACAAAUCGGAAUAUGACCAUCCUUUUUAUAAAAAUUUUAUUACUGAUUUGGAUACAACCAGUAACAAAAUUUAUACCGUAAACAAUAGAGAUAAUAUAAAACAAAACAUACCUGACCAUUCACUACGUAACAAACAAAUAACAACGAAAAAGAAAAAGAAAAAGAACACUAUAAAUAAAAAUAAUUAUAAUACAAACGAAAUAAAAGAAAGUUGUACAACAAACUAUGUAUGUUAUUCAAAUAUAAGUGACACCGAUGGCUUGAGCUUAAACGAAUUCAAAUCUCUUUAUGAUCCAAUUGUUACUAGAGAAAAGGGAAUAAAACUAGGUAACAACAAUGGUGAUUAUACCUAUAGUGAUUGUGACAAUAACAGUGGCGACAUUACCGAAAACAGCAGUUCUGAGUUAAAUAUAAAAAGUAAGUGGUUACUAAAAAAUAAUUUAUUCACGAAUAAUACAUCCACUAAAUCUUUCGACCGUUACAACAUAAAUGAAACAUAUAAUAUUAAUGUUAAUCAAAAUAAUGAGUUAAUAAUGUUUACAAAUAGAGAUUCCGAUUUGAUACCACAAACACGUGCCCAUCACGUUAAGAGUAAACAUGACAUUAUGUUAAGCGCCAAACACAGUAACAACAAAAUAGUUGUAAAUAACAAAAAUGAGCAAAAAAAACUUGGUAAACAUUUUUUUAAAGUAGAAUUUAAUCAAAAUGGUAUUGCAUGCAAAC